UGGGGAAUAUUGCACAAUGGGCGCAAGCCUGAUGCAGCCAUGCCGCGUGUAUGAAGAAGGCCUUCGGGUUGUAAAGUACUUUCAGUCGGGAGGAAGGUGGUAAGGUUAAUAACCUCAUCGAUUGACGUUACCCGCAGAAGAAGCACCGGCUAACUCCGUGCCAGCAGCCGCGGUAAUACGGAGGGUGCAAGCGUUAAUCGGAAUUACUGGGCGUAAAGCGCACGCAGGCGGUCUGUCAAGUCGGAUGUGAAAUCCCCGGGCUCAACCUGGGAACUGCAUUCGAAACUGGCAGGCUAGAGUCUUGUAGAGGGGGGUAGAAUUCCAGGUGUAGCGGUGAAAUGCGUAGAGAUCUGGAGGAAUACCGGUGGCGAAGGCGGCCCCCUGGACAAAGACUAACGCUCAGGUGCGAAAGCGUGGGGAGCAAACAGG
Molecule: ribosomal RNA, 429 nt
Filed under: Chloroflexota bacterium
Lineage: Bacteria; Bacillati; Chloroflexota
Description: Chloroflexi bacterium partial 16S ribosomal RNA
Rfam family: Bacterial small subunit ribosomal RNA
Source: RNAcentral